RNAcentral lists this transfer RNA (70 nucleotides) under Champsodon cf. snyderi CBM-ZF 10876. Its description in RNAcentral is "tRNA-Asp". It matches the Rfam family "tRNA". Rfam says of the family: Transfer RNA (tRNA) molecules are approximately 80 nucleotides in length. Their secondary structure includes four short double-helical elements and three loops (D, anti-codon, and T loops). Further hydrogen bonds mediate the characteristic L-shaped molecular structure. tRNAs have two regions of fundamental functional importance: the anti-codon, which is responsible for specific mRNA codon recognition, and the 3' end, to which the tRNAs corresponding amino acid is attached (by aminoacyl-tRNA synthetases). tRNAs cope with the degeneracy of the genetic code in two manners: having more than one tRNA (with a specific anti-codon) for a particular amino acid; and 'wobble' base-pairing, i.e. permitting non-standard base-pairing at the 3rd anti-codon position. Lineage: Eukaryota; Metazoa; Chordata; Actinopteri; Acropomatiformes; Champsodontidae. The record is from RNAcentral.
AAGGUACUAGUAAAACAAAUUACAUUACUUUGUCAAGGUAAAAUCGCGAGUUAAAACCCCGCGUACCUUU